UGGGGGAUAUUGCACAAUGGGCGAAAGCCUGAUGCAGCGACGCCGCGUGGGGGAUGAAGGCCUUCGGGUUGUAAACUUCUUUUGCUCUGAACAAGGCGCACCAUGGGGUGUGUUGAGUGUAGGGGUUGAUUAGCGCCGGCUAACUACGUGCCAGCAGCCGCGGUAAUACGUUGGGCGCGAGCGUUGUCCGGAAUUAUUGGGCGUAAAGGGCUUGUAGGUGGCUGGUUGCGUCUGUCGUGAAAGCUCAUGGCUUAACUGUGGGUUUGCGGUGGGUACGGGCUGGCUUGAGUGCAGUAGGGGAGGCUGGAAUUCCUGGUGUAGCGGUGGAAUGCGCAGAUAUCAGGAGGAAUACCGGUGGCGAAGGCGGGUCUCUGGGCUGUUACUGACACUGAGGAGCGAAAGCAUGGGGAGCGAACAGG
This 419-nucleotide ribosomal RNA is filed under the name bacterium. RNAcentral describes it as "partial 16S ribosomal RNA". It matches the Rfam family "Bacterial small subunit ribosomal RNA", at positions 355 to 776 of the family's 1533-position model. The record is from RNAcentral.